Long non-coding RNA from Oncorhynchus keta (chum salmon), 551 nucleotides. RefSeq lists it as uncharacterized. Lineage: Eukaryota; Metazoa; Chordata; Actinopteri; Salmoniformes; Salmonidae. The transcript has 4 exons. The record is from RefSeq and is a predicted model, not a curated record.
AGAGUCUACCUACCUUGAUGUUGUCCAGGUUGAGAGGGCAGGUUGAAGAGCCUACCUACCGUGAUGUUGUCCAGGUUCAAGAGGGCAGGUUGAAGAGCCUACCUACCUUGAUGUUAUCCAGGUUGAAGAGCCUACUUACCUUGAUGUUAUCCAGGUUGAAGAGCCUACCUACCUUGAUGUUGUCCAGGUUGAGAGGGCAGGUUGAAGAGCCUACCUACCUUGAUGUUAUCCAGGUUGAAGAGCCUACUUACCUUGAUGUUAUCCAGGUUGAAGAGCCUACCUACCUUGAUGUUGUCCAGGUUGAGAGGGCAGGUUGAAGAGCCUACCUACCUUGAUAUUAUCCAGGUUGAGAGGACAGGUUGAAGAGCCUACCUACCUUGAUGUUAUCCAGGUUGAGAGGACAGGUUGAAGAGCCUACCUACCUUGAUGUUAUCCAGGUUGAGAGGACAGGUUGAAGAGCCUACCUACCGUGAUGUUAUCCAGGUUGAGAGGACAGGUUGAAGAGCCUACCUACCUUGAUGUUAUCCAGGUUGAGAGGACAGGUUGAAGAG